AAGGAUCAUUAAAGAAUCUUUAUGCUGCCUGCGCUUUAAUUAGCGCGGUGGCUAAAACCUUACACACAGUGCUUAGUUUUUUCUAACAUUGCUUUGGUCGAGCGCUUGCGCCUGGCCAGAGGUCUUAUAAAACACAAGAUUUUUAUAUCUUUUUUAUUAACCAUAGUCAAGAAGUUUUACUAUAAACAAAUCUUCAAAACUUUCAACAACGGAUCUCUUGGUUCUCGCAACGAUGAAGAACGCAGCGAAAUGCGAUACGUAAUGUGAAUUGCAGGUUUUCGUGAAUCAUCGAAUCUUUGAACGCAUAUUGCGCCCUCUGGUAUUCCAGAGGGCAUGCCUGUUUGAGCGUCAUUUCUCUCUCAAACCUCUCGGGUUUGGUAUUGAGUGAUACUCUUUUUCUUGGGUUAACUUGAAAUAAGCUGGCAAGAGCUGCUAUUGCAGAUCUCCUCUGAACUAACGUUUCUAGGUUCUACCAAUUCGUUAUGGACAGAUGUGAAGGAAGUGAUGGUGUGUGGGCUCGGCCUAAUAAUUUCUCUUAAAGUUUGACCUCAAAUCAGGUAGGAUUACCCGCUGAACUUAA
This 580-nucleotide ribosomal RNA is filed under the name Petasospora xishuangbannaensis. RNAcentral's name for it is "eukaryotic LSU rRNA". The stretch from base 198 to 351 matches the Rfam family "5.8S ribosomal RNA". Lineage: Eukaryota; Fungi; Ascomycota; Saccharomycetes; Phaffomycetales; Wickerhamomycetaceae. The record is from RNAcentral.